AAACAGUGUUUAGUGUCUCUGGUA
RNAcentral lists this non-coding RNA (24 nucleotides) under Arabidopsis thaliana (thale cress). The record is from RNAcentral. Lineage: Eukaryota; Viridiplantae; Streptophyta; Magnoliopsida; Brassicales; Brassicaceae.